RNAcentral lists this long non-coding RNA (2343 nucleotides) under Volvox carteri. Its description in RNAcentral is "long non-coding RNA (VCAR_LNC003850)". The stretch from base 1709 to 1780 matches the Rfam family "tRNA". Lineage: Eukaryota; Viridiplantae; Chlorophyta; Chlorophyceae; Chlamydomonadales; Volvocaceae. The record is from RNAcentral.
CAGGAGCACCAGACUCCGGCAGGUUGCGAUAACUGGUCGUGUUCCACAGCGACAGUGUGGCGUCCUCACCAACGAUAGGUGGAACUCUAGGGUGGAAAAGGGCCCGUAGAGGUGACGCGGUGGGAAUAUAGCUUAUAGGACUGACUAGGUGCAGACCUCAGAGCGUUCCCCCCUUAACACACGCCAGGUUGAGCGGACACCGGUGUAACAAUAAUAAUAAUAAUAAUCAUAGAAUAGAUAUGAGGGGCCGUAAGAAGGUCAUGUCACGCCAAAACAUCUGGAGCGCACAAAUUACGUGCCACGACCGAGUUAGUCGCUAUCCGCAGGUGGCUAAGCCAACCGAAGGUAGUUAGGCGAACCGCGUAUUGAUUUAAUUGAGACUUUGGGUGUUGCCUGACUAGCGUAUAAGGCGCUUUCCGUUGUGAUUUGAGGAUGUUAGGUUGUCGUUCAUCUGUCGUUAGUCGGAUGAGCGUUACGCAUCCAGGGUAGGGCCGGGUGUGAUAAGGCCCGGCGUGGAUCAGUCGGUACUUCGCCAUAAAUGCGAGUGCGAAGAGGCCAAACAUUUGUCGUUUGGCUCUCGAAGCAACUCUUCGUGAGCGUAUAGACCAUNNNNNNNNNNNNNNNNNNNNNNNNNNNNNNNNNNNNNNNNNNNNNNNNNNAGGAGGCCAUGCCGUGGGCAGCUUAUCACGGCAUCCCCCCCGACGUCAGCCACCUCCACACCUUCAGCUGCCUGGCCUACGUCCGCAUCCACCCAGCCAGCAGGACAAACUCGGUCCUCGUGCAAAGGCGGAAACCCACCGCCGACCGGAGCAUGGCAUGGCCGCCCACAGCAUCCUCAUCGAGGGCAAGGUGACCGUGAGCAGCAACGUCACCUUCGAUGACAACCGCCACAGCCCGGUUCACAACGGGCGGGCACCCCCUUCAGCACUAGCCCCGCCUGCCCCGGUGGCAGCGACCCCAUCGGCGGCUCUACACCGCCCACCAAGCUGCCGACCCCAGUGGCCACCCCACCUCCGGUGACCCCAACACCACCCCUCCAUCCCAACACCCGCAGUCAACGGCAGUCCCUGCACACUCCCGCUGGUCCCGGUCAGUGACGGCCCGCCCCCCCCGACAGCAGCAGCAGCGGCGGCGGCGGAGAGUCGGGAAGUCCACCGGCGGUGGAGGCAACAGUGCAGAGCACACUGCCAACGACAUGCUGGUGAUGGCGGACAACCUGCAAGUGGUCGCGGCCACCAAGGCAGCCAUCGCCGGUUGCUUCACAGUGCGUGACCUUGGCGAGGCGCACUACCACCUCGGCAUGAAGAUCGUCCAGGAUGGUCGCAACCGCUGCAUCAUGCUCACGCAGCAGCGCUAUGUGGAGCAGCUGCUGCAGCGCCACAGCCUGGAGAAUGCCAAGCCGCGCGCCACCCUGCUGCCUCAGGGCAUGUGUGCUCUGCCAGCCAGCGACGCCCAGCCGACAGUGAUUGAUGGCAGCGGCUACCGUGUGCUGGUGGGCGAGCUGAAAUACCUCGCCACCAGCACGCGCCCGGACAUCAGUGUUUUUUUAAAGUAAUAUAUUCCUUUUAAGGAAUAAAGAGGCCAUUUUGGCCUUUGGAAAUAAGGAACAAAUUGAGGCCGAUCCGUACAUUUUCAUUCCUCGAGCCAAAAACGUCCAUUGCUGUCAGAUUGCUCCAUAGUGUGCAGAACUUAGUAUUAUCGAUCAUAGGGCGCCGUAGCUUAACUGGUAAAGCACCACCUUAACCGGUGGGAGAUUUUGGUUCGAAUCCCACCGGCGUCACCAUGGGUUGUGAGACUUGUUCACUGAUAGUAUAUCAGUAUAUCUGAGGCAUUCCUCAGGGCAACCCGUGGUGUAUGUGAUGACAAGUCCAUCACCAGAAGGCUAGGCGCCGAGGAGGAGGAGGAAAUGGCUGCACAAGGUCAAUGGAGCUGUCCAAGCAAAGUACCUACCAAGAGGCUACUGAAACAUGGCUAGGCCGAACCUCGCACGAGCCUUAGAUGGUGACCUCUAUGAGGGGUGCAGAAUCCCCCAGCGGGUGAAGCGGGUCGUAGGGGGCUAACUACCCUCCGCCAGGACAAAGCGCAGGGUGCUGUGUAGAGUGCAGUAGUGUAAGGGUAGGGAGGCGGUGCGACAUGCACGUGGCCUGAAGUUGUAACAGGAGCACCAGACUCCGGCAGGUUGCGAUAACUGGUCGUGUUCCACAGCGACAGUGUGGCGUCCUCACCAACGAUAGGUGGAACUCUAGGGUGGAAAAGGGCCCGUAGAGGUGACGCGGUGGGAAUAUAGCUUAUAGGACUGACUAGGUGCAGACCUCAGAGCGUUCCCCCCUUAACACACGCCAG